UUGAUUCCCUUAGCACAUACC
Caenorhabditis elegans is the source of this 21-nucleotide non-coding RNA. Lineage: Eukaryota; Metazoa; Nematoda; Chromadorea; Rhabditida; Rhabditidae. The record is from Ensembl.